UACGGAGGGGGCUAGCGUUGUUCGGAAUUACUGGGCGUAAAGCGCACGUAGGCGGCCAGUUGCGUCUGCUGUGAAAUCCCGGGGCUCAACCCCGGGCUUGCAGUGGAUACGGGCUGGCUGGAGGCAGGCAGGGGAGAACGGAAUUCCCGGUGUAGCGGUGAAAUGCGCAGAUAUCGGGAGGAACACCGGUGGCGAAGGCGGUUCUCUGGGCCUGUACUGACGCUGAGGAGCGAAAGCGUGGGGAGCGAACAGG
This 253-nucleotide ribosomal RNA is filed under the name uncultured bacterium. RNAcentral describes it as "partial 16S ribosomal RNA". It matches the Rfam family "Bacterial small subunit ribosomal RNA", at positions 524 to 776 of the family's 1533-position model. The record is from RNAcentral.